CGCUGUAACACUAGUUCUUAUGCGAUCACCGAAUUUAAGCAAUGUUGGACCUGGUUAUUACCUAAAUGGGUGACCGCUUGAGAAUACCAGGUGCUGUCAG
Molecule: non-coding RNA, 100 nt
Organism: Acanthosepion pharaonis
Lineage: Eukaryota; Metazoa; Mollusca; Cephalopoda; Sepiida; Sepiidae
Source: the annotation of a GenBank genome assembly